CAAGAUAACCUGCCUCUAGAAAGCGUCUGAACCUCUUCCCCACAGUAGUGGAGUGAAUGUGGCCUUUGGAGCCCAGCAGAUUGAAAUCAAUCCAGGUUUCAGACAAAGGGUCCUGGGAAUAAAAGAUGCCGCAUUUUGUAAGAGAAACCCUAGAUGACCCUUAGAACAUCUAAAAGAAGUUAUGGACACUCUCUCCACCAAAAAGAAAAGAAAAAAGUCACCUGCACUGUAAAAGAGUACACAUUUUCAGAGGACUUGGGAAUUGGGGACCCACACUUAGCUUCCAAGAAGAGAACCUUUGGCACCAUCAACCUGUUUCCUGCAAGAGCUGUGCUGUGCACAUAGGACAGUAUAACAGCACAUGAAGUCAAGCAGAAUGUGACCUACAAUCGUUCUCUUCAACCUAAGUAUCUACUUCCUAGUCAAGGCCAGAAGCAGCAGGAAAUUUGGAAAGCCAGAGAUGUCAAAAAUGAGCAUCAACAACAAAAUUAAGAAAUCAAGACAACACCUAUUGUGGCAAAGAGUUUCAAGGAAAAGACCAAUUCCAGGAAGGAAGAAUCAGAGCCUUC
RNAcentral lists this long non-coding RNA (569 nucleotides) under Pan troglodytes (chimpanzee). RNAcentral's name for it is "long non-coding RNA NONPTRT013724". The record is from RNAcentral. Lineage: Eukaryota; Metazoa; Chordata; Mammalia; Primates; Hominidae.